CCCUUAGAUGUCCUGGGCUGCACGCGCGCUACACUGAUGUGUCCAGCAAGCACCUAACCUCUUCCGAAAGGAACGGGUAACCUUUGCAAAGCACAUCGUGAUGGGGAUAGAUUAUUGCAAUUGUUAGUCUUGAACGAGGAAUUCCUAGUAAGCACAAGUCAUCAGCUUGUGUUGAUUACGUCCCUGCCCUUUGUACACACCGCCCGUCGCUCCUACCGAUUGAAUGUUCCGGUGAGCUCUUCGGACUGCGCGGUCUGCAGUUUCUGCGUUCCGUGCGAAAAGUUGCGCAAACCUUAACAUUUAGAGGAAGGAGAAGUCGUAACA
RNAcentral lists this ribosomal RNA (324 nucleotides) under uncultured eukaryote. RNAcentral describes it as "partial 18S ribosomal RNA". It matches the Rfam family "Eukaryotic small subunit ribosomal RNA", at positions 1470 to 1796 of the family's 1831-position model. The record is from RNAcentral.